RNAcentral lists this ribosomal RNA (484 nucleotides) under uncultured bacterium. Its description in RNAcentral is "partial 16S ribosomal RNA". It matches the Rfam family "Bacterial small subunit ribosomal RNA", at positions 30 to 507 of the family's 1533-position model. The record is from RNAcentral.
AUUGAACGCUGGCGGCAGGCCUAACACAUGCAAGUCGAGCGGAUGAAGGGAGCUUGCUCCUGGAUUCAGCGGCGGACGGGUGAGUAAUGCCUAGGAAUCUGCCUGAUAGUGGGGGAUAACGUCCGGAAACGGGCGCUAAUACCGCAUACGUCCUGAGGGAGAAAGUGGGGGAUCUUCGGACCUCACGCUAUCAGAUGAGCCUAGGUCGGAUUAGCUAGUUGGUGGGGUAAAGGCCUACCAAGGCGACGAUCCGUAACUGGUCUGCGAGGAUGAUCAGUCACACUGGAACUGAGACACGGUCCAGACUCCUACGGGAGGCAGCAGUGGGGAAUAUUGGACAAUGGGCGAAAGCCUGAUCCAGCCAUGCCGCGUGUGUGAAGAAGGUCUUCGGAUUGUAAAGCACUUUAAGUUGGGAGGAAGGGCAGUAAGUUAAUACCUUGCUGUUUUGACGUUACCAACAGAAUAAGCACCGGCUAACUUCGUG